GGUGAACGCUGGCGAUGUGCUUAACACAUGCAAGUCGAGCGGGGUGAUGGUGCUUGCACUAUCACUUAGCGGCGGACGGGUGAGUAAUGCUUAGGAAUCUGCCUAUUAGUGGGGGACAACAUCUCGAAAGGGAUGCUAAUACCGCAUACGUCCUACGGGAGAAAGCAGGGGAUCACUUGUGACCUUGCGCUAAUAGAUGAGCCUAAGUCGGAUUAGCUAGUUGGUGGGGUAAAGGCCUACCAAGGCGACGAUCUGUAGCGGGUCUGAGAGGAUGAUCCGCCACACUGGGACUGAGACACGGCCCAGACUCCUACGGGAGGCAGCAGUGGGGAAUAUUGGACAAUGGGGGGAACCCUGAUCCAGCCAUGCCGCGUGUGUGAAGAAGGCCUUAUGGUUGUAAAGCACUUUAAGCGAGGAGGAGGCUCUUUUGGUUAAUACCCAAGAUGAGUGGACGUUACUCGCAGAAUAAGCACCGGCUAACUCUGUGCCAGCAGCCGCCGUAA
Molecule: ribosomal RNA, 503 nt
Filed under: uncultured bacterium
Lineage: Bacteria
Description: partial 16S ribosomal RNA
Rfam family: Bacterial small subunit ribosomal RNA
Source: RNAcentral